CCUACGGGGGGCAGCAGUGGGGGAUAUUGCACAAUGGGGGAAACCCUGAUGCAGCGACGCCGCGUGAGUGAAGAAGUAAUUCGUUACGUAAAGCUCUAUCAGCAGGGAAGAAAAUGACGGUACCUGACUAAGAAGCCCCGGCUAACUACGUGCCAGCAGCCGCGGUAAUACGUAGGGGGCAAGCGUUAUCCGGAAUUACUGGGUGUAAAGGGAGCGCAGACGGCAGUGCAAGUCUGGAGUGAAAGCCCGUGGCUUAACCACGGGACUGCUCUGGAAACUGUGCAGCUAGAGUGCAGGAGAGGCAG
Molecule: ribosomal RNA, 305 nt
Filed under: uncultured bacterium
Lineage: Bacteria
Description: bacterial SSU rRNA
Rfam family: Bacterial small subunit ribosomal RNA
Source: RNAcentral